This 492-nucleotide ribosomal RNA is filed under the name uncultured bacterium. Its description in RNAcentral is "partial 16S ribosomal RNA". It matches the Rfam family "Bacterial small subunit ribosomal RNA", at positions 29 to 507 of the family's 1533-position model. The record is from RNAcentral.
AGUGAACGCUGGCGGUAGGCCUAACACAUGCAAGUCGAACGGCAGCACAGUAAGAGCUUGCUCUUACGGGUGGCGAGUGGCGGACGGGUGAGGAAUACAUCGGAAUCUACUUUUUCGCGGGGGAUAACGUAGGGAAACUUACGCUAAUACCGCAUACGACCUACGGGUGAAAGCAGGGGAUCUUCGGACCUUGCGCGAUCGAAUGAGCCGAUGUCGGAUUAGCUAGUUGGCGGGGUAAAGGCCCACCAAGGCGACGAUCCGUAGCUGGUCUGAGAGGAUGAUCAGCCACACUGGAACUGAGACACGGUCCAGACUCCUACGGGAGGCAGCAGUGGGGAAUAUUGGACAAUGGGCGCAAGCCUGAUCCAGCCAUACCGCGUGGGUGAAGAAGGCCUUCGGGUUGUAAAGCCCUUUUGUUGGGAAAGAAAAGCAGCAGGUUAAUACCCCGCUGUUCUGACGGUACCCAAAGAAUAAGCACCGGCUAACUUCGUG